Molecule: long non-coding RNA, 796 nt
Organism: Nicotiana tabacum (common tobacco)
Lineage: Eukaryota; Viridiplantae; Streptophyta; Magnoliopsida; Solanales; Solanaceae
Source: RefSeq, a predicted model, not a curated record
CAAAACCCUAAUCAGUGGCGGCUCUGCCCGUAAAACCCUAGUCAGCCGCAUGUACAUCUAUGAGCUGUAUUACAGCUCUGGCGGAGCCUCCUUACCUUUUUCGACAAUGGCAGGCGUUACGAGUAAGGAGCGAAAACUCCUUUAUCUCUUUCUCAAUUGAACCUACAUUUGAAGAUCUUCCUCUAUGCGGAUUCAAUAUUUAGAGGAUUCAUCACUGUCUAAAUACUAACUGAUGAAUCCUCUAAUACUAAAUCCAACUUAGUUGUUUAGCGCGGGGUAUAGAGGAGCUUCGAGUCUCUGUAUAAUGUGUUUGGUUUACAACGAAGCUCACGGAAUCGGACGGAUACGGCGCCGUCAUAUGUCUCCAACAGAACUGCUUGACUCUGUAUUAUGAUUCACUAUCCGAAGGCAGGCGCUGAGUAGAUUGCAUUAGAAGCAAGAAAUGUCUAUGAUUUAUGGAUAGUAGAAUAGAAGAUUCUUUAUGGCACCAACUCACGCUGGGAAGUGUAGUGUGUUCCACAAGACCUCCAUUGCGUAGUACAUUACAUCUAUACUUUCUGUAUAAGGUUAUUCUGUAAUUAUGUUUUUACAUUUAUUAGAGUGAACAGUGCAAAUAGGAAACAUGGAUUCAGAACGUUUUCCUAUUCUCCUGGUGAUAUUAGUGGUGCUGAAAUUAAGUACUCCCUCCGUUUCAAUUUAUAUGAACCUAUUUGACUGGUCAUGUAAUUUAAGAAAAGAGAGAAUAAUUUUGAACCAGUGGUGUGAAAUGAGUUGCAUAUAUAUUGUGUGGCUAUAA